CACCCAUUCUGGACAAGGUGGGACAGACACCAGGAGUAAGAGGUCCACCUCAAGCUGGCUGGGCUGUAGGCCCUGCAGGGCUCUGACAGAGCAGUCAAGAUGAUGUGGUUACAUUGAUGCCUUGUAAAGCAGCACUACAGAAGAAAUAGCCUGUGGAAGCAAUGCCAGCCACAUAGGUGAGAAAAUGGAGGCAGGAAGAUGUCUGUCUUAGUCCAUUUGUGCUGCUGUGACACAAUACCACAGACUGGGUAAUUGACAAAGAACAAAGAUUUACUCUCACAGUUCUGGAGGAGGAGAAGUCCAAGAUUAAGGUGCCGGCAUCUGUGAGGAUGCUGCGCUCCUGCCCUGCGGAGGAUGCAGCAGAUAAGCACCAUCUUGGAGGAAGAGAAUGGCUGUACCAGACCAAACCUGCUGGUACCUUGACCUCAGACUUCCCAGCCUCCAGAACAAAUCUUCAAGCACCACAAUAUGGCAUGUCUUCCCUCUGCCACAAGAAGGGUGAUGUCCCUGAGAGCUGCUUCUUCAGUCUGGAAUGAAGAAGAUAUGAAACAAAGCCACAGCCUACCUUCCACUAACAUGUAACAUGAGCAAAGCAAACAACAUUAUUGCUGCAAGCCUCUGAGAUUUUUAACAAUAAUUGUAACACAACUGAUGAAAGUUCAUGGAUAUAGAUGCCUUCAAGGACUUUGACCUCAGCAACUAAAAGAAUGGAGUUUCCCUUGACUGCGAUGGGAAGCUCAAGGGGGAAGAAGGUUUCAAAGGGCUUAUUAAGAGUUCACUUUCAAUGAGAUGUGUCCAGGCAGGGACACAGAGGAGGCAAUUGGAUUUAAGAAUCGAACAUUAAGGGAAAGAGCUAGGCUGGAGAUAAAAUAAAAUUGGUGUUCAUCAGCAUACAGCUGGUAAUUUAUAGGGCCAGAGGAUUCAUUAAGAUCAUCAAGGGAGUGCCUAUCACUAUAGGAGAGGAAGACUCCAUGAGAGGUCAUUAGCGAUCUCAUCACGAACAUUUUCUCUCACAGUGAGUUUGAGAAGGAAUGUGGGGAAAGAAAUUGACUACAACCAGGACAGUUAAUUUCUUGAGAUUUGCUCUGAAGGAAGCCAAGAAAUGGGCCAUAACCCGGCAAUUUCCAAUAGGAUGAAAACAUCAGACCAGAUGCUCUUCUUGCACAGAUGAGCAUAUUCCUUUUCUUUCUCUUGGCCUGUUUCUCAGUUUUACCACACUGUGAAGUACCUAUGAUUACCUUCCAGGGUCUCUAACAGGUGAAGUGACUUAAUUAAUGUCACACACCUAGUACAUGGCACAGCCGAGAGUCAUUCCUUCAUCUCUCUUUUGACAAAGCCUGUGCUCUUUUCUCCUUUAUAAUUGUCUUCCAGAAAAGUUGCAAUAUUUUCUUUGAAGCAAAUUUCACAAAUGUUUCCUGCAUUACUUCUCAACUAGCAAAGUGUAGCUUGGGAUAAAAUUGACAUAAUCAGGUGACUUUUUGUUCCCUAGUGCUUACUAUUAAGCUAUGUUCUGCUGCUGUCAGUUUUAAAUUAAGAGUUCUCACUCGACCUAAAAUGUGGCUUAAACUCAACACUAGUUCAGUCUAGAAGGAAAGCUGCAAACUCACCAAAAUGUCAGGUGAACAUUUUAGUCCUUCUUUGGUUUUAAGUUCAAGCAACCAAUUACCAAACUAUAAUUACUUUAAAAUUUGGUAGAAAUUUUAUGAAUUCAUAAUGAUGAUUGGAUACAUGUGAUUGAAGGUUAAAAGUGGUGUUCUAGUGCAAAAGCCGUUUCUCCUACCUACUGGUUGGUUGAAUUUCAUCCACACAUAAUAAACAAAUGGAUCAUGUGGCAAUGACUAGGCUCUUAUAUUGAUUAGGCUUUUCUAGAGGAACAGAAUUGAUAGAAACACACACACACACACACACACACACUCACACACAUGAGCUUUAGCAUAUAUAGCAAGACAAUUUAUUAGGUAGGCUCACGGAAUUAGAGAUAGGAGAAUCCACAGUGAGUAUCUGCAUGCUGGAGAGUCAGAGGGAGCUGAUCGGUCCAAAAAGCUGGGAGCCAAAGAACAAAGAUGCAGCAGCAGUGUGAAACCAAAGGCCUAGAAGCUUCCUGGAAAGUUGCUAGUAUGAGUGAGUCUCCAUUGGAUGCCCGAAGAUAUAAAAGUCUGAUGCUUAUAGUCCAUGGCAGCAACAGACACACCCACUCAAGCAAAAUGGAGCUUGGAAAAUGCAGUCGACUUCCUCUCUUUUCCCUGUUUUAUUUCACCUGGACUCAAAGCCUAGUGGAUGGAGCCACACACAAUCAGCAUGGGUCUCCCCUCCGUGCUGACCCACCUGGCAGUCAUCUCUGGAAACUCCCCACCACCACACCAAGAAGUGUGCUCUACUAACCCACUAGGCAUUUCUUUUUAUUGGCAGUACUGGGAUUGGGUCUGGGGCCUUCACACUGAGCUACAUCCCCAGCUCCUCUUUGUUUAUUAUUAUUAUUAUUAUUAUUAUUAUUAUUAUUAAUACUUUGACACAGAGUCUUAUGAGUCACUAAGUUGCCCAUGCUAAGUUUGAGCUUUUGAUCCUUGUUCCUCAGUCUCCUAGGGUGCUGGGAUUACAGGUGUGCCCCACCAUUUCUUAAUCUGCUCAAGUUGAUAUAUCAUAAUAGUCACAGUUCUCAAAAUGUUA
This is a long non-coding RNA of Heterocephalus glaber (naked mole-rat), 2667 nucleotides long. The record is from Ensembl. Lineage: Eukaryota; Metazoa; Chordata; Mammalia; Rodentia; Bathyergidae.